Long non-coding RNA from Rhagoletis zephyria (snowberry fruit fly), 563 nucleotides. RefSeq lists it as uncharacterized. The record is from RefSeq and is a predicted model, not a curated record. NCBI's taxonomy places the organism in Eukaryota, Metazoa, Arthropoda, Insecta, Diptera, Tephritidae.
UAGAGGCGGCAUUGGAGCGGACUAGCAAGAGUGAUUCUAUUCGAUUCGUUUGCGAGCGGCAUACAAACGUGCGUUUCCCUCGUAAUCGACAAUCUCGUUGGUUGGUUGGUCGUUGUUGGCAACGGUCGGCAUUUGAAGUAGUAAAAAAAAAAAUAAAAGUUGAAGAGAUGAAGAAGAUCUAAAAAAUAAAAUAAAAAAUCCAAAGUUGUUGAUAUUCGCAAGUUGGAAUGAAGAUUAUAUACAUACAUACAUACAUACAUGUGUACACGCAUGCAAAUAAAAAAGCAAAAGUUAUAAAUAAAACGAAUUAGUGCGGCAGUGAAAGAAAUUCCAUUAUUGAUAAAAAGGCGCGCGAAUUUCGGUUCGUUGACGUUUUUUUUGCUCUGAUUUUUGUGCUACUCAAAACGAAGGGUUGAAGAAAACUCCCACUGUGCCAUGCAAUUUAACAAAACAAAUUUCUAACACACAAAAUAUAAAUAAACUAAAUUCCACGCUUCAAGGCCAGUGUAAAGUAAGCCAGACGCUUACAAAAAAACAAAAAAACCUAAGGUAUAAGAUUACAA